CAGUAGCCGCGGUAAUACGAAGGGUGCAAGCGUUAAUCGGAAUUACUGGGCGUAAAGCGUGCGUAGGCGGUAAGUUAAGUCUGCUGUGAAAUCCCCGGGCUCAACCUGGGAAUGGCAGUGGAUACUGGCUCGCUAGAGUGUGUCAGAGGAUGGUGGAAUUCCCGGUGUAGCGGUGAAAUGCGUAGAGGUCGGGAGGAACAUCAGUGGCGAAGGCGGCCAUCUGGGACAACACUGACGCUGAGGCACGAAAGCGUGGGGAGCGAACAGGAUUAGAUACCCGAGUAGUCCUUGUCUCUUAUAC
Molecule: ribosomal RNA, 301 nt
Filed under: uncultured bacterium
Lineage: Bacteria
Description: partial 16S ribosomal RNA
Rfam family: Bacterial small subunit ribosomal RNA
Source: RNAcentral